GAUGAACGCUGGCGGCGUGCUUAACACAUGCAAGUCGAACGAUGAACCUCACUUGUGGGGGGAUUAGUGGCGAACGGGUGAGUAACACGUGAGUAACCUGCCCUUGACUCUGGGAUAAGCCUGGGAAACCGGGUCUAAUACUGGAUACGACCUUCUGGCGCAUGCCAUGUUGGUGGAAAGCUUUUGUGGUUUUGGAUGGACUCGCGGCCUAUCAGCUUGUUGGUGGGGUAAUGGCCUACCAAGGCGACGACGGGUAGCCGGCCUGAGAGGGUGACCGGCCACACUGGGACUGAGACACGGCCCAGACUCCUACGGGAGGCAGCAGUGGGGAAUAUUGCACAAUGGGCGCAAGCCUGAUGCAGCGACGCCGCGUGAGGGAUGGAGGCCUGCGGGUUGUAAACCUCUUUCAGUAGGGAAGAAGCCGGCUUUUGGGUUGGUGACGGUACCUGCAGAAGAAGCGCCGGCUAACUACGUG
RNAcentral lists this ribosomal RNA (475 nucleotides) under uncultured bacterium. RNAcentral describes it as "partial 16S ribosomal RNA". It matches the Rfam family "Bacterial small subunit ribosomal RNA", at positions 28 to 507 of the family's 1533-position model. The record is from RNAcentral.